AACUUGCUCUUUUUGUACAAAAAAACUUCUGAUUUCCUGCUACGACCAAAUAUUUUCAGAUAUAGAAAUAAAAGAUCGCUUCUCCCCUCGAGUAAUUUAGUGAAGUAGAAGAGAUAAACAAAGAAACAAUUAUAAAAUGAAUCAUCUUUCACAGCCUGAAAGACGAUUAAAGAAGCCCAAUUGCAGAACUUUUAAAAACAGAAUUCUUUAGGUAUUUCCAAAGGAACCAGGAACCACCAUGGAAAUGGGGAUCAUCCUCUUCACUUCUGAUUACAGCCAUGACGAAACUCAUUAGUUACCCUCCUGCCCAGGGAGAUGAGGAGGAAGUUCAAAGAGACAUUAAACAUCUACCAAGACAAAAGCAUCCUUUGCGGGAGGGGAGGCUGUGGAAAUUCCAAGGACUCUCUGGAUAAGAAAAGCUCUUAAUCAACUCCCAUGUCCUGGACUGCGGGAAUCAUCUCCUAUCCAGACCUGCAAGAAUCAACACCUUCCUGGUUUGCUGGUGAUUUCUUAGCAAAACUUGACUAUAUGCUAAGCUUGUCGGCAACCCAGUAUCUAUCACACUGAAAUUGUCUGAUCAAUCUCACUUCUUUAAUGAUAUUUUAAAUUAAGCAACUUCUUGUGGCAUUUCAGUGGCCUUUGUCAAUGUUCCAGGAGACACUAUUUUCUGAAACUCAAUAUUCCAUUUGCAAUUUCCCCAGGUCCCACCUAUUAGGUUAAAAAAAAUGAAGAAUAUGGUUCAUAACAACAAUAACCAAUGGUAGUCACUGCUAAGUUACUUUAUUUCUCAUUGAAAAACAACAGUGGCUUAAGGUGAACUUGGCCAGGAUAGCUUGUUCUAGC
This 843-nucleotide long non-coding RNA is filed under the name Marmota monax (woodchuck). The record is from RNAcentral. Lineage: Eukaryota; Metazoa; Chordata; Mammalia; Rodentia; Sciuridae.